GUACCUUUAGUUUUCAAGAAACCUCUAAACUGUCUUUCAAAGUGAUUGUACCAUUUUAUAUUCCCACCAGUAAUGCAUGGGAGUUAGUGUUCACAUUCUCACCAGCAUUUGAUAUUAUCACUGUUUGGAUUUUGGCAUCUAUGUUUAUGGUGAUUUGAAGAAGAAAACAGAAGAGAAAUGACUUUUUAUGUCUAUGUGAUUUGAGAUCACAUAGACAUAGUUUGAAUAACAGCUCUUUAUCAAAUGUAUCAUUUUUCUCUUUUUUUUUGAGAUGGAGUCUCACUCUGUCACCCAGGCUGGAGUGAAGUGGUGCCAUCUUGGCUCACUGCAACCUUUGCCUCCCAGUUACAAGCAAUUCUUCUGCCUCAUCCUCCCCAGUAGCUGGGUUUACAGGCACCCACCAUCAUGCCUGGCUAAUUUUUGUAUUUUUAGUAGAGACGGGGUUUCACCCUGUUAGCCAGGCUGGUCUUGAACUCCUGACCUCAGGUGAUCCACCCACCUCAGCCUCCCAAAGUGCUGGGAUUACAGGCAUGAGCCAUGGGUUCUGGCUAUCAAAUGUGUCUUUUGAAAAUAUUUUCUCCCAGUCUGUGCCUUGUCUUUUUCAUUCUCUUGACCAUGCCUUUCACGCAGCAGAAUAUCUUAAUCUUAAUGAAGUCCAGUUGAGCAGUUCUUUCUUUCAUGGGUCAUACCUUCAUCAUUGUAUUUAAAAACUCAUAAUCAAACCCAAGGUCAUCUGGAUUGUCUUCUGUGUCACCAUCUGGGAGUGUUACAAUUUUGCAUUUUACAUUUAGGUCUGUGAUCAAUUUUGAGUUAAUUUUCGUGAGUAAUGUCUGUUUCCAGAUUCAUUUGUUUGCCUGUGGAUAUCUAGUUGUGCAGUACUAUCUGUUGAAAAGACUAUCUUUGCUGCAUUGUAUUGCCUUUUUCCUUUGUUGGCAGUGGUUCUUAAGGUGUGGCCCAUGGACUUCUGGGGGUCCCCAAUACCAUUUCAGCAAGUUUUUUAGUUCAAAACUAUUUUCAUAUACUAAGACAUUAUUUGCCUUUUGUAUUUUUAUUCUUUCACCACCGUACAGUGGAGUUUUCCAAAGGCUAUAUGAUGUGUGAUAUUGCAACAGAUUGAAUGUAGUAGCAGAUCAUGAGAAUUCAACUAUUUCCUAUCAAGCCACAUACUAAAGUUUUGCUAAGCUGUGAAACAAUGCCACCCUUAUAAAUUGUGGGUUUUUUUUUUAAUGUAGUUAUUUCUCAAAUGAAUUAAUGUUGAUAAAUUUCUCAGUUUCAGUUUCUAACACAGUAAAUAUUGAUAGAGAACCCCCACAUAAAAGCUCUUUGGUGUCCUCAAUUUUAAAAGCGUAAAGGUUCUGAGACUAAAAAUACACCUUUAGGAAUGCGUAUGUAUUAGAGGGGACAAAAGCGUACUCAAAGAGGAACUAGAUUUAAGAGAUAUUUUGAACUCUCAGAGUAAUUUUGGAUUUGACUUUGUAGGUAACAGUGCCCCAACUUUUGGAAGAUUUCAAGCAAGAGAUGUGACAUAAUCUCUUAGGUCUACUUUAUGUCCAUAAGUAGAUUGGAAGGAGUGUUCAAUAUGACUUGGAAAGGAAACUGCUGGGUCAAAAAAGUCUAACACUAAUAUCUAACUUUUUUUUCCCAAUGGCCUUACAGAUUAGUUGCUAAUUGGAACUCUUGAUUAUUUGUCCUCAUUUUUUCUUUAAUAUUAAAACUAUUUUUUUUAUUUUUCGGUAAGCCAGGCAGGUUAGGUAUCACUUAUGCCAGGUUCUUGACUACCAAAUCAUUAGCCUUUGCACAUGUGAUUCCUUGGACUAGAUAGAGACGGGGUCUUGCUCUCUCACCCAAGCUGGAGUAUAGUGUCAUGAUCAUGGCUUACUGUAACUCUGCACUCCUGGGCUCAAGGGAUUCCCUGGCCUCAGCCUCCUGAGUAGGUAGGACUACAGGUGUGUGCCAUCCAUCAAGCCCUGCUAAAGAGAAAGGGGCUCUUCCCUAGGCUGAUCUCAAACUACUGGCCUUGGUUUCCCAAAGCUCUAGGAUUGUAGGUGUGAGCCACCAUGCUGGGCCUCUUCUAAACUUUCUUUGCCUUGCUUCCAUUAAUAAUCACAUUUACAGCAGCCUCUUUCAUAAAAACAUCACUGAAUAACUUCCCUUGGUCCUGUCAGCCCAACAUUAUUCUUAAAAUUUUUAAGUUUCAAAUAUUGUUAAACUGUAGUUGCUGUCUUUCUUUUAUCUAUAUUGGGUGUAUGCUCAUUUCCUCCAUGGAAUAGGAACUGUGUUCUGUAUUGUUCUCUGUCUCUUCAAGUGCCUAGUCAGCAACCCCAUGGGUGCUCAGCAAAUAUUGAAUGGUUAUACAUAACUUCCCUUCGUAGCUCAGACUAUUCCAUGAACAAUUUAUGGACAUAAAAAUCUAUUCCAGUAGACAUUUAAGGAUAUUUUUAUGGUGAGAAUGGAAAUUUCCUGGUUACAAAUUUAUAUAUAGAGUCAGUAACGUUGAUAAAAAUGUAACAAAUUACUGUUUCAUGGAACUUAGGAGUCAUUAAGAGGUGUUUUUUGUUUAGAUACAAGAUAGUGUCUUCCAAAAUGUUCCUUCAAAAUUUUUGUAGCUGCUCCAUUUGAACACUAUAUUAAAAUGCACAUUUUUGAGGACAUAUUCUUAAAAUUAGGAAUGUAAUUUUAAGAAUUAAAGAGAGGACUAGAAAUAGAUGUGAAGUGUUUAUCAGAGCUGCUUCCUUGCACGACUACAGGAGGUGCCUAUCACACCUUUUUGUGUGAAAGGUACCUCCUAGAGUGUAACUACAGUAGACUCAUUUUUGAUAUAAGACAGGAUAAAUAAAGCGCACGUAACAGAUGAUAUCAAAUAAAAGAAAAGAAAUGUCUGUUUUAGAAGGAAGCUGUAUGAGAUCCGAGGCACAGGUUAGGGUGGUAGUAGCGAUGGUGGUAAAAAUAUGAUCUCUUAAUCUAGAUUAUUACUUAAUCAGUAAAUUGAUUCCAGGGGCUAGUGGGAAUUGCUGAAAGUUUCCUUUGAACACAUGGAAUUUUUAGCAGUGAUUUGAGAAAUGGUGCUGGUAUUUAUAGCCAUACAUGAAAACAUCCUAGGGAACCCAAGUCUUAAUCAAGGGGCAGCUCUUCCAAGUAGUGGUUGAGGAAGUUGGGCAUACUUUCCAAAACUUUUUUCCUCACUAAAGAUUGCAGGUAUACUCUGCAAGUGACUUCACAGGACAUAUUAUUUUAAUGUAUAUAUUUGGUUGUCAUAUUUUAAUGUAUAUAUUUCUGCUGAUUAUAGGUCUCAUGUGACUAUAAGCUCUCUGAGAACAAGAGUCAUGGGGGAUGUGUGUGCAGUUAAAAUUUUAUGUGCUGAUAAUAGUUAUCUUCUGGAUGUUUAAGAAAUAUGAAUGUGUACUGUAUUUUAAAUACUCUUAUAUGUAAACAUUUUAAUGUGAUUUAAGUAUAUAUCAAAAAGUAAAUAGGUGGUAUUCACACUGCAGAGGGAUUGGCAAGUCUUUUUGAUAUACGUCAAAUAAUUGUUUGCAGAAAUUUGACUCGUAUUGUAUUGACUACUUUGAAAUAUUAGUAGUUAACUAAUUUAAAGCUAAGAUGAAGAGGAUAUUUUGAAGUGAGAUGAUAAAUAUAUGCAGUUGUCCUUUAGUAUCCCUAGGGGAUUGGAUCCAGGAUGCUCAAAUCCCUGAUGUAAAAUGGCAUCGUUUGCAUAUAACCUAUGUACAUCCUCGGUAUACUUUAUCUCUUGGUUACUUAUAAUACCUAAUACAAUAUAAAUGGUAUGUAAACAGUUGUUACACUGUAUUGUUUAGGGAGUGACAAGGGAAAAAGUCUGUACAUGUUCAGUAGAGAUGCGUUUUUUUUGGGUGCAUGUUUUUGAUUCCUGGUUGAAUCAUAAUGGAACCCAUUGAUAGGAGGACUAACUGUGUGUACACACACACACAAUUUCCUUUUUUUGUGGUUUUUAAUUUAUUUUUUUCCAUUUAGAGUACGCAUUUUUUUCACAGUUUUAAAAUUGAGACAUAAUUUACAUAACAUAAAAUUCAGUUUUAAAGUAGACAGUUCAGUGGUAUUUAGUAUGUUCACAGUGUUGUGUGCAACUAUCACCAUUAUGUAACUCUAGAACAUUUUCCAUCACCAAGAAAGAGAUCCCCUAUCUGUUAGCAGUCACUCCUAAGCUCUCCCCUGACCCCUGUAACCACUAAUCCACUUUCUGUCUAUGAAUUUUUCUUUUCUGCACGUUUCAUUUUAAUGGAAUCAUACAAUAUGUGGCCUUUUGUGCCUGGCUUCUUUCAGUUGUAAUGUUUUAAAGAUUUAUCCUUGUAGCACAUAUCAGUACUUUAUUCAUUUUUAUAGCUGAAUAAUACUCCCUUGUAUGGAUAACCCUCAUUUCAUUUAUACCUUCAUUAGUUGGUGGGUUGUUUAGCCAUUUGGGCUAUGAAGAAUAAUACUGUGUGAACAUUCAUAUACAAGUUUUUGUGUGAACAUAUUUUCAGUUCUCUUAGGUAUACUUCUAGGAGUAAAAUUGCUGGGUCAUACGGUAAUUCUGUUUAAACUUUUCGAGGAACUACCAAACUGUUUUCCACAGCAGUGACACCAUUUUAUAUUUCCAUCAGCAAUGUAUAAAGGUUCCUAUUUCUCAUCUUCUUUCUUGCCAAACUUGUUACUUUCAGGAUUUUUGGUUUUUUUGAUAUUUAAAAAAUAGUCGUUCUGUUGGAUGUGAAGUGUUACAUCAUUGUGAUUUUGGUUUCCAUUUCCCUAAUAAUCUCUUUAUGUGCUUGUUGGCCAUUUGUAUAUCUUAGGGAAAAUAUCUAUUCAAGAUUUUUUGCCUGUUUUACAAUUCGAUUUUUAUGCAUUCUGGGUACUAGAAGAGUACAUACUUUGCAUACUAGAUCUUUAUAUGAUUUGUGUUUUUUUCCCCCAUUCUGUGGCUUGUCUUGUCACUUUCUUGAUACAGUGUCUUUUAAUGUACAAAAGUUUUAAAUUUUGAAGUCUAAUUGUUCUGGGAUUUUUUUUUUUUUUGAGACAGAGUCUUGUUCUGUCACCCAGGCUAGAGUACAGUGCUGUGAUCUUGGCUCACUGCAACUUUUGCCUCCUGGGUUCAAGCAACCAUUCCAUCUCAAUCUGCUGAGUAGCUGGGACAACAGGCGUGUGGUACCAUGCCUGGCUAAGUUUUUUGUAUUUUUAGUAGAGAUGGGAUUUUACCAUGUUGACCAGGCUGGUCUCGAACUCUUGACUUCCAGUGAUUCACCUGCCUUGACCACCCAAAAAGCUGGGAUUGCAGACGUGAGCUACGGUGCCCAGUCUCUGGUUUUUUUGAUUGUGCUUUUGAUAUCAUACGAAGAAAUCGUGGGCUAAUUCAAGGUUAUGCACAUUUACACCUGUUUCCUUCUAAGAGUUUUAGGAAGAAAUUUUAGCUCUUAGAUUUAGGAUUGAUCAAUUUUGAGUUAACUUUUAUAUAUGGUAUGAUGGAACAUUUAUAUCCAAAGAUAUUUGAGUUUUUAAUCUUUUGAAGUUGACAUGGAAUGCAGUUCUUCUACCUCUGUGUAAUGUGGAGAUGGAAUUGUGCAUGAUAAAAACAUUACUUGAUGGCAGUCUCCAGGACUGGGCAUCGUUGAUGGAUAACUGGAAUUUUGGGUCAUUGUUUUAGCCGGAUGAACCACUUAAUCUGAUCCAGUGUAUAGUUUUAAUGUUCUCAAAAUAAGUCUUUUAGAUAUAUGGAGAGGUAAGAAAUAGUUGCAUCAAUAAGUUGUUUUGGUCCACACAGAAUAGUGUCAUUGUAUGCUCCCAUAGUAUAUAUAUAUAUUUUUUGAAAUAGAGUUUCACUCUUGUUGCCCAGACUGGAGUGCAGUGGUGCCAUCUAGGCUCGCUGCAACCUCCGCCUCCUGUGUUCAAGCAAUUCUCCUGCCUCAGCUGGGAUUACAGAUGUAUACCACCUUGCCUGACUAAUUUUGUAUUUUAGCAGAGGUGGGGUUUCAGCAUAUUGGCCAAGCUGGUCUUGAACUCCCGACCUCAGGUGACUCCCCCCACAUCAGCUUCCCACAGUGCUGGGAUUACAGGCAUGAGCCACCAUACCUGGCCAAUAAGCAAUUUGCUAGACAUGGUGGUGCAUGCCAGUAAUCCCAGCUAAAAUGCAAUACUAAAAAUACAAAAUUUGCUGGACGUGGUGGCGCAUACCUGUAAUCUCAGUUACUCUGGAUGCUGAGGCGGGAGAUUAACCUGGGAGUCAGAGGUCGGGGUGAGCCAAGAUUGUGCUAUUGCACUCCAGCCUGGGCAACAAGAGCGAAACUCUAUCUCAGGGAAAAAAAAAAAAAAAGUGACACUUGAUCCUUAAAAAGGAGCAUGAGGUCUAAUAGUAAAAUGUGCAAACUAAUGGAAAUAUAUUGAGAUAAAUGCAUAAUAACUUUUUACAUAAAGAUCAAAGUAGGAGAGAGUAAUUAACUUUGAAGGAGGUUAGUAAAGACUUCACAGAAGAGGUAACAGGUUUCUUCUAAAUUAGCAUAACCAGUGACAUGGAGGCAAAAAAGCACAUUAUGGUGUGUUUGUGGAAACCUUUGAAUAGUUGUCUGUGGUAGAAUACAAAGUGUUAAUGGGAGUAGGGGAUGUGAGGCUGGAGAGAGGGAGGCCUUAAAGGAGCAGGAGUUCUCUUGAUAGACUCUGGGCUCUUCAGUGUCAUCUUCCAUCUUCAUUUUAGGGCCCCCCCUUUCUCCCAUUAUUAGCUGAUUUACUAGCUUUAGAUGACAGUACCGUGAAACUAGCAAAGUAUUUUUUCCUUUUCCCAUACAGUUUGUAGUGGGGUUGUUGAGAAAGGUAAGAAAGAAGGAAUGCAUGAUUCUGUUGGCACGUGUGCAGGGGGCUAAGUAUACCUUACCACCCAAAGUUGGUGUUGUUAUACAUAGUGUUUGGGUCUCCACAUAAAUAAAAUCAGGUUUACUGUGAAUUUAUGGCUUUUGUGGACUUGUCUGGUGAUUGAGCAUUUUUUGAGUUCCAAAUUUAUGAAUGAACUUAAACACAAACUAUCCUACUGGGUGAUAGUAUGAAUAAAAACAAUUUGUUAAAUCAGUUUAAAGUUAGUAAGAAUCUUGAUGGCUUGUUUGAUUUAGUUAGUGACUUUUAUAUAUCUGAAAAUGAUAUAUUGUCAUGUGUGCAUUUUUAAAGCUGGAUCUCUACCACACAAGGCAUUGUUAGUCUUGGCUGGGUGUGGUGGCUCAUGCCUAUAAUUCCAGCACUUUGGAGGCCAAGGUAGGCAGAUCAAUUGAGCCCAGGAGUUUGAGACCAGCCUGGAUGACGUAGUGAAACCCAAUCUCUACUGAAAAUAUAAAAAUUCACUGGGCAUGGUGACACACACCUAUAGUCCCAAGGCUGAAGUGGGAGGAUUACUUGAGCCUGGAAGGCAGAAGUUGCAGUGAGCCGAGAUCAUGCCAAGCAAUUCUUGCCUUGGUGACAGCAAAACCCUGUCUCAAAAAAAGGACUUUGUUGAACUUAUGGAAAUUAAUAUGCUCAUUAGCAUUACAUACUGAGUCUUGUUAAAAGAAAACUUUAGACAAAUUAAAUUUAGCAGUUAAUUUGAGCAAAGAAACAAUUCAUGAAUUGGGCAGCACCCCGAAGCAGAAAAGGUUCAGAGAGCCCUGCCUAGCAAUGUGGAUAGUCAGUAUUCAUACACAGAAAAAUAAGUGACAUCCACACAUAGCCUGAUUGGUUACAGGUCCAUGUUUGCCUUAUUUGGACAUGUCUGAGCAGUUUGCAGCUUGUGAUUGACUGAAAGCUUGGCUGCUUGUUAGAAGAAUAUACUCAAAUUAGGUUGCAGUUUUAAUAUACUGAAGUGCAGUUCACUGCUUAUGGAAGCAGCCUUAGACCAAAUUUAGUUAAGUGUCACUAUUAAGGUUGCAUUGAGAUUAUUGAGAAAUCCGAGUGCAAAAACACUAAUCUGUCCUCAGUUUAGUAGGGAAGAUGGCAUAUGCAGAUAGCUGUAUUGCCAAACAAUGUGAGAUAAGUACAGAUCAAGUGACAUUAAAAAUCAGAGGAGAUACUGCUUUUGAUAAGGGAAGAAAACUGGACCUUAAAUGAUAAAUUAUUAGGAGCACUAGGCAUGUCAGGUGGAGGAAAGAGCAUGAGCAAACACUUGUAGACAGGAAGCUGAAUUUGUGAGGAACAAAGAAAUGUGUUUGUAAAUGGGGUGCUUUCGGAUUGUGAGAGGGGGACAGGUUGGGUGCAGUGAGAAAUUGAGUUGGAGCAAUUCUGAGGCUAGAUUGUGAAGGAAGAAUGACUUAAUUAUAUGACCUUUAUAUAUAGCUUUUUGGCUACUGUAGGUAAAGUUGGACCAUAGUUAGAGCCAGUUUUUCAAAAUUACACUUUAUCUGUAGUUUCUGCUGCCAGUGUGAAAACAGGAAAGGCAAGGAGUUUUGCUGAUCUUGAAGCUGAGGAUGAGAUUUUGCUGCCUCAAGCUUUUUAUAUCAGCUUUAUUAUAGACUCAAUUAAUGGUGGGCAAUUACUGAGAUUUGGGGGAUUUCUGAGUGUCUAGAUUGCACAGGAAUCAUUGAAGAAGUCUUCUCAACAAAAGUAACAUAAAUCUAACUUUCAUCUGAAGGUAGAAAUUUUAAAAAGAAAGGAAACCUUUCAUUCUUCAGGGAUUCACAAAAUCUGAUAAAAAUUGGGGAAUUAGUCCAUUCUCAUGCUGCUGUGAAGAAAUACCCAAGACUGGGUAAUUUAUAAAGAAAAAAGGUUUAAUUGACUCACAAUUCUGCGUAGCCGGGGGGGCCUCAGGAAGCUUACAAUUAUGGCAGAAGGGGAAGCAAAUGCAUGUUCUUCAUAUGGUUGCAGGAGAGAGAAGUGCCCCUUAUAAAACCACCAGAUUUCAUGAGAACAGCAUGGGAGAAACCAGCCACAUCAUUGAAUUAUCUCCACCUGGUCCCAUCCUUCAUGUGGGAAUUAUUACAAUUCAGGGUGAGAUUUGGGUGGGGACACAGAGCCAACUGUUAACAGUUGGUUUAGUUAGGAUAUAACGUACAAAAUGGGGAGAAUAGCUCACCUUUAAGGAAACCUUUCUAGGUCUUGGGCAAUUGACAUGCAUUAUUAACACAAUAUUUAUACAAACCUAUUUAUCAGUAGACUUAUUGGCUAUUCCAGAUACUUAAACUAAAACACUAUUAAAAAGAAGACAUAGAGAAUAAAUCUAACAUUUAGAUGGCAGUGAAGAACCUCAGCUAGAGGUCAGAUAAUCUGAAGGAGAGCCUCUUAGCUCACAGAAACUUACACAGAAUGUGUAGAUAAAUAGGAGAGAGCUUUCUUUGAGAACUAUAAUUUCUGUAAAUAUGUAAGAUUGCAUUUUGAGAUGUCAACUUCAUACUUCUUCUGUUUGUUUGUUUUUGAGAUGGAGUCUCACUCUGUCACCCAGGCUGGAGUGCAGUGGCCCAGUGUCAGCUCAUUGCAACCUCUGCCUGCCGGGUUCAAGUGAUUUUUCCUGCCUCAGCCUCCCAAGCAGCUGGGACUUCGGGCACAUGCUACCAUGCCCAGCUGAUUUUUGUAUUUUUAGUAGAGAUGGGGUUUCACAAUGUUGGCCAGGCUUGUCUGGAACUCUUGAGGUGAUCGCCCACCUCAGUCUUCCAAAGUGCUGGGAUUACAUGUGUGAGCCACCAUACCCGGUGCAACUUCCUAUACUUCUUAAGAUAAAUUGUCCAUAUGCUUCAAGAGGAAUAAGCUCUAACUGGAAUAUAGGGUACUGGCCCUAGCUCCUUAUGACCUCAUAAAAAUCCAUUAGUAAAAUAGUUUAUUUUCCAAAUUGCCUUCUUUCUCUACUAUUCUCUAAUGCUAUAAUCGUGUUCCUUUAGCUUUUUGUUGUAGGCUUGGUCCUUUGGAAGUGAAGACCAGAGACAGUUUCUCUAUGAGCCUUUGCUUCAUUCUCCAUCAGAGUGUUCUGUCCCACCUACUAGGAUAUCAAUAUUCGAAAACCAGUUGGAAUUUGCAUAUCUUAACUAUCACUGGUAGGAAUAGGUGGCAUUGUCUUAUGUGAUUUUUGUUUUAGGAGGAACUGGGUAACAAAAAUGUGAAUUUUCAGCCAGGUGUGGUGCUGCAUCUCUGUAGUCCCAACUCCUCAGGCGGCUGAGGUGGGAGGAUUUCUUGAGGCCAGUGGUUUGAGGCCAACUUGUACAACAUAGCAAAACCACUAUCACAUAUAAUAAUAAAAACGUAUUUUUUUUCCAGUGUGUAUCUUGAAUGUAAAAAAAGAAAGGGAGUUUCUACCCUUAUUAAAAAUAUGUGAAUAGUAGAGACCUUUUCUCUACAAAAAUUUAAAAAUUAGCCAGAUGCAAUGGUGCAUGCCUGUAGUCCCAGCUACUCAGGAGGCUGAAGUGGGCAGAUCACUUGGACCCAGGAGUGUGAGGCUGCAGUGAAACAUGAUUGCGCCACUGCACUGCAGCCUCAGUGACAGAGCAAGUCCUUGUCUCUUAAGAAAAGAAAAAAAAACUCAUUUAAAAAAAAGUAACAUUGUUGGAGGGAAUUAAUCUUUGUGUUGUAAAUAUUCAAAUAUGAUUUUACUUUAGUUGGUUCACUCGAUCAGUUCAGACUGUUUAUGCCAGGUUUAUGAAUCUGAUACACGAAAAAGAGUGAUAAUGGUGGUAUAGAUCACAGUCUAAGUGACUAUGCUGGCUAAUUGUCUUGUAUGUGUUGGCCGUUCUUCAUUUUGGGUGAUCAGUUGAGGGGUAUAAGGAUCAUCACUAAUCCAUCACCCCAUACAUGCUCUACCAUAGUGACAUCAUUCUAAAAUUAUUAAGUGAUGAAUUUAUGGAUAAUUGCUUCGCCUUAUUUUCAUCUCUUAAUUUUAAUUCUCUAGAAACACAUAUAAACAUAAUCAUUGUUGCCAGGAUCCUUAAUUUAAUUUGCAUGAUGGAAGGACUGUGUUUCUUAAAUUACAUGUAUACUGUGUAUAUGUUUUGUAGAACGGGGAACUGCAUUUAUCUGUUUAGUAGUAGAACUCUGUAAUAGGUCAAGGCUGCAUCAGUUUUUUUUAGAUGUAAUUGCUUGUACAUUUUUGGCUUACAGCCUUUUGUGUACCAGUGACAAGCCAUUAAGAGCCAAAAAAUUUGCUUUUACUUACCGUACAUCUACAUCUAGUUUUGACUUAUUUGUCAAAAAAGGGUGAACUUUCUUUUUGGCCUUUUUUUUUUUUCCUUUUAUGACUUGAAAUUAAAUAAGCAACUUAUUGAUGUAGUGUUUUGUUUUUGUUUGUUUUUGUUUUUUGAGAUAGAGUCUCACUUUGUAGCCCAGGCUGGAGUGCAGUGGCGCAACUCGCCUCACUGCAACCUCUUACCUCCCGGAUUCAAGUGAUUAUCCUGCCUCAACCUCGCGAGUAUCUGGGAUUACAGGCACUCACACCAUGCCCAGCUAAUUUUUAUAUUUUUAGUAGAGACAGGGUUUUGCCACGUUGGUCAGGACUUCAAGGCCAACAUGAUGAAACCCUGAGAUCGCACCACUACAUUCCAGCCUGGGCGACUGAGUGAGACACCAUCAUCUCAAAAAAAAAGAAAAAAGAAAAAAAUGAAUUUCACUACGUACAGUUACUGACUUUAUUUCAGGUGAGCUGUCAUGGGGGAAUUUGUCUGGUUUUGAUAUGUAAGGUUGGUGUGAAGAUUUAUUGAUAUAUACAAAAUGGAGUGGGUUUCUCUGCAAUGAAUUAAAACUGAAUAUCCAAGAGAAAAUAAGUUUACACAGUAGUUGCAUUUGAUCUUUUGGUAUGGAACUGGAGUAAAGUUCUGGUUUGUUUUUUGUUUUUUUUGAGACAGAGGCUUAUUUUGUUGCCUAGGCUAAAGUGCAGUGGAGUGAUCUCAGCUCACUGCAACCUCUGUUUUCUGGGUUCCAGCGAUUCUCAUGCCUCAGCCUCCUGAGUAGCUGACAUUCUUAUGCCUCAGCCUCCCGAGUAGCUGGACAUGGUGUGCACCACCAUGUCCAAAUAAUUUUGUAUUUUUAGUAGAGACACGCUUUUGCCGUGUUGGCGAGGCCGGUCUCGAACUCCUGGCAUCAUGUGAUCCCCUGCCUCAGCCUUCCAAAAUGCUGGGAUUACAGGUAUGAGCCACUGCACCUGGCCCUCUGGUUUUUUCUUUAUGUGAUCACUUUGCCUCUGUUUUCAGAAUUGGAAGAUAUAAUCACAUUAUCCUUAUUCCCAUUUGUACAUUUCCUUUUUGAAGUAAAACCAGCUGUUUGAUGACUGAGAAGUUAGGGUUUAGCAGACAAUAUUUCUCUAUUUUUCUUUUCUCAACAUUAGCUUUAGUAACUUUUCUUCACACAACUAUGUAUUUAUAUAUUCAUUAUCAGGUUUGGAAUUUGUGUUGGAUAUUAAUUUAAGAUCUUAGACUUUAUAGAGUAUUCAUCUGGUUAUUUGUCAUUUUUGUUUGUCAUAUUCUUGCAAAAUACUGUUUGACUUGCUGACCUAGAAUGGAUCAAGGCAUUAUCUUCAGGUAGUUUCUGUAGCCCAUCCCUGAAACACUGCUUGGCAUAGCUGAGUGGCAAUGAAGAACAGCCAUAGUUAGUAACUUAAAAAUUAGCUAUAGAAUUGCAACUGGCAGCUAAGUUAGAAAGCUAUUUAUAGAGCAGCUUGGGAUACUAAGAUAUUCCUUGACUGCCUAAAGGUGCAAGUGCAGGGAGAGAACCAUUUCUUCCUAUCAGGAGAUUGGAAACCUUUUUUUUUUUUUGAGACAGAGUUUCGUUCCCCAGGCUAGAGUGCAAUGGUGCUAUCUCAGCUCACUGCAACCUCCACCUCCUGAGUUCAAGUGAUUCUCCUGCCUCAGCCUCCCAAGUAGCUGGGAUUACAGGUGCCUGCCACAAUGCCUGGCUAAUUUUUUGUAAUUUUAGUAGAGAUUGGGUUUCACCAUGUUGACCAUGCUGGUCUUGAACUCCUAACCUCAGCUGAUCUGCCUGCCUCAGCCUCCCAAAGUGCUAAAAUUACAGGUGUUAGCCACCACACCCAGCCUGAAACCUUUUAAGAGAGAAACUUACUAAUAAGUUGCUUCCUAUCCUUGGGCUUAUAGACUUAGUCUAGAAUUGAUUUUUGUUUGACUUUCUUCAUCAGAGUUAUGUUUUCCUAACUUAAUGACUAACUAAGAAUGUGUUCCAACUUUUGAGGCCUCUUUUAACAUAGUUUACCCCUUCUGCUAUUACUUAGAAUUGAUAGUAAUUACAUCGGUAGGGCAAAAGAUGACUGGAAAAUUGCCCUAUGUUUUUCUCAUUAAAAUCAUAAAAGACCUGUUCAUCUAAAAUCUGGUGAGUUAUUUUAGUUUGUUCUUUGACAUUCUUGACUUCUUUAAACUUGCUUAUAAAUUAAGGCUUGCAGUUUGAGUCAUUUGGAGACGGGGAAUGCCCAGAACUUUUGAAGUUUGUGAACUUGAGUUGAAUAUUGUGUCUCUUUCCUCAUAUUCUGUCAACUUUAGUUCACUAUAGCCACAAUGAAGAUGAUGAUGCCAAUGAGGAUAUACAAAACCAGACAAGAUGUGGCCUACCAUAUAUGCUAGAAUUAGAUUUGUGAGAACUAAACACAACACUGAAUUUGUGAGCAUGUGUGGAGUUUAGAGUAAUUAGAGGAAGUGAUAACAAGUCUCACUCAGACCACAUGGAAAUUGGGGGAGAGUUUGUAUGUGUAGUGUAUGUGUAUCUUCAUCUAUCCCGCUAGUAGAAAGGUUACUGUUUGAAAAAUGUAGUUCCAACACAGCCACUAGUUUGUGCUGCUUUAAACAAGUAUUUAAAUCUUUACAACAGAGAUAAUUAUAACAGAGCAUUCCUUGCCUUGUAACAAGGCUGUUGGUACAAUUGGAAGACUAGGGGUAUGAACGAAUUUUGUAAUCUAUAAAGAAAUCUUGGCCAGGCAUGGUGGCUCAUGCCUGUAAUCUGAGCACUUUGGGAGGCGGAAGCAGGAGGAUCACUUAAGGCCAGGAGUUUGAGACCUGCCUGGGCAACAUACUGAGACCUUGUAGCUACAGAAAUUUUAAAAAUUAGCUGGAUGUGGUUGCAUGCAUCUGUAGUCCUAGCUACUUCAGUCUGGGUGACCGAGCAAGACCCUGUCUUUAUUUAAAAAGAAAGAAAGGAAGAAAUCGUAUGUGCAUUAUAACAGUUUUGCCACUCUUAAGAUUUAGUGCAAGUAUCUAUGGUAGCACUUCCCAGUUGAUGAAGAAAUUGGGCAUUAGAUAAUGAAGGUUUUGCAGAAGUAAUUGAGUUUGAGGAAUUUUCAUAAUAUGGUAUAGGAAAGGUGGUAGAGAAAUUAUCUCCUAAAAUUAGGGAAAACAUAAAUACAAAAUGAUGGUAAUAAAAAAAUAAAAGUAUUUGUAAUGGUGCUUUAAAGCUUAUAAAGUACCCUAUCACCCUACUUAACCACGAUGUUGUGAAAAUUAAGUAUUAAUCCUAUUUUUUAAAUGUAGAAAUGAAAACUGAGUGACUAAUUAAAUGCCUGAAAUCACAGUGAACCAUGAAUCUCAAAUUUGAUCCUAGAUUCUUCUGCUCAUUCUGAUAUGUUGCUUAGUCCUGUUACAGUAUUGUUGUAGCACAUGGAAAUGUAUGGGACCAAGCAUGGAAGCAGGAGAGUCUAGAGCAGAACUUCAGUGAUGGUAAAUUAAAAUCUUCAUCAUCAGUAUUUGAAGCCCAGAUUGAAAAUGAAUAGUACUUAGGACAGACUACCAAAUAAAUGUGAGCCAGAAGAUUUUUAAUAGGGGGAAAUUGAAUGAAACAUCUUACAGAAAGAGCUAAAAAUGGCUGAGCACGGUGGCUCACAUCUGUAAUCCCAGCACUUUGGGAAGCCGAGGCAGAUGGAUCAUGAGAUCAGGAGUUCAAGACCAGCCUGGCCAACAUGGUGAAACCUCAUCUCUGCUAAAAAUACAAAAAUCAGCCCGGUGUGGUGGUGCAUGCCUGUAAUUUCAGCUGCUCAGGAGGCUGAGGCAGGAGAAUUGCUUGAACCUAGGAGGCGGAGGCUGCAGUGAGACGAGAUCAUGCCACUGCACUCACCUGGGCGACAGAGUGACUCUGUCAUGGGGGGGAAAAAAAAGAGCUAAUAACAAGACACUUUCCAAUCCCAGUCACUCUGGAGGGUAUCUAACAUAAAAGUGAAAAAAACUAGUUAAAUGUUUUCCAGUGUUUGUCAAGUUUAGGAAUAGAUUAACUUGAAAAGUUGGGUAGAUUUGUUUGAAGAUCCUUUGCAAUCAUAGCAAAAAAUAAAAAAAUGUUGAAAGAUUGGUAUUGUAGAAUGAUGGGAGAAAGGUGAUUACAUUUUCCUUCCUAUUUGUCUAGACCACUUAAAGUUUAUAUUGCUUUCUCACACAAGCCAAGAUAAGAAUACAUUCUUUAAGAAAUAUAGGAGAUUCUUCAUAUAUCCAUUCAUAGAUAGAAUGUGGUUUUGAAAACAUAUGGGAUAUUAUUUAAAUAUAGAUCUAUAUAAAGAUAUACAGAAGAUACUUUAUAAUUCCUUUUAAGAAAGGCAUUUUUCAGGAAAUGAAGUUGUCAGACUUUUUAAUGCUGAGAAAUAGGUGAUGUGGGUUAAAUGGAGUCUUUUUUUAAAAAAAAUUUUCAAGACAGGGUCUCACUGUUUCCUAGUCUGGAGUUCAGUGGCUAUUCACAGGUGUCAUCAUUGCAUACUACAGCCCAAACUCUUGGGCUGAAGUGAUCCUCCCAGUUCAUCCUGAGUAGCUGGGACUACAGGUGCAUACCACUGUACUUUGCUAGGAAUCUUAUAAGAACAGUUGUAUGAUCAUGAGGUGUGUGAAGAUAGAUAUUUAUAGAUAUUUUUUGCCCUGGUGAUUAUUUCUUCUUGUAAAAUAAUCCUAUUGAUUUUUCCUUCUUGUAGAAACUUAAGGGCUUCAGAUUAAACUUACUAGGAAAAAUACUUUGGUUUUAUUUUAUGAUGAUUUAUUAAUGGCUUCAAUAUUAAUAAUGUAUUAAAAUUGCUCAUAUUUUCCACUUACCGAGUAUUAUUUCAAAAUUUAAAGCCAUGUAGAUAGGUUAUUAUUUGGUGCUACAUCUGCCGUUACUGCCGUUGGGUUCCAGCAGUUUGAAAAAGGAUUUUUCAGAAAUGGCUUUCACUUGUUACCCAGUGGCUUACGGCAGCAGUCCCCAACCUUUUUGGCACCUGGGACUGGUUUCAUGCAAGACAGUUUUUCCAUGGACUGGCAGGAAGGGGGUGUGUAGUGGGAUGGUUUGGGGAUGAAACUGUUCCACCUCAUAUCAUCAGUCAUUAGAUUCUCAUAAAGAGUGCACAACCUAGAUUCCUUUCAUGUGCAGUUCACAAUAGGGUUUGCUCUCCUAUGAGAAUCUAAUGCCCCCAUUGAUCUGACAGGAGACAGCGCAGGCAGUAAUGCUUGCUAGCUCACCAGCCAGUGUGGCCCAGAUCCUAACAGGUCAUGAACCAGUAACCAUCCAUAGCUUGGGGUUUGGGAACCCCUGGCUUACAGGGUCUUUGGAUGCUUGCUUGCCACAGGUAUGUCACUUAAGCGGGUGUAAUGAAUGGCUGGUGUAAUUUUGACUCAAAGUGAACAGUUCAUUUUAAUUGUGAAAUGUGUAAAUAAAUAAAUGAGAUUUCCGCUGUCUUUAGUACUAUAUACAUAAAACUAGAGGCUUUGCAAAAUUACCAAGAGAAGAUCCUGUUUGAUGUAUCUUUGGUUUAGCAUGGGUGAAGCAGACAUGUGAGAUACAGAAUGAAUGGGAGGCCUUCAUGCUCACUAUGUGGAAGGUGGUAGUUGAUCAGGAUGGUCAGUUCCACUCCAGGCCAUUGGUGGCACACUACCACUGUUGCCAUAAUUCUCAAAAGUCAUUUUAUGCGGAGCUCCUUCCUAGCAA
Molecule: non-coding RNA, 16803 nt
Organism: Callithrix jacchus (white-tufted-ear marmoset)
Lineage: Eukaryota; Metazoa; Chordata; Mammalia; Primates; Cebidae
Source: RefSeq, a predicted model, not a curated record